Lemur catta (Ring-tailed lemur) is the source of this 881-nucleotide long non-coding RNA. RefSeq lists it as uncharacterized. The record is from RefSeq and is a predicted model, not a curated record. The transcript is spliced from 3 exons. NCBI's taxonomy places the organism in Eukaryota, Metazoa, Chordata, Mammalia, Primates, Lemuridae.
UCCCUGCCGCCGGCGCUUUCUCUUAACAACUUCGAAUAAAUAAACGCGGCAGAGCGACGACGGGCACGGAUGCCGAGGCGCUGCUCUAAGUCGGGCUACCUCGUGCAGUCUGGGAACUGGUAGCCCAUUUUGCAGCGUUUCCUCCCAGGAGCAGCCCAAGCUCGUUAACGAUCUCCCGGCUUAUGUUCCUCCUCCCUUGUGACAACCAGAACUGUCGCUGGGGGCAGAAGUGCAUCUGUUGAGAACCACAGCCUCAUGAACCUGUUAAAAACAAAUGGAAUCUCCUUGCUCCCUGCUGAAAUCCUCUAGGGCUCCCCGUUUUUCCAGAGUAAAGUCCAAACCUCCUGAACCUCUGAGUAAGGCAUCAAGCUCUUGACUGCCACAGGCUACAAAGGCAUAUGCUUCCCUCUGCCUGUCAUUCUCUUGCCAGGUGAACUCCCAGAGUCACCUUUCUGUUCAGCUCCAGGUACUUGCUCUGGGAAGCCUUCCUCGCCCCUCCAUCCCAGGUCGGGCCCCUUCGUCUUAUCCUCCUGGUAGCACUUGUCACAGUUUGCAAUUUCAUUAACAUGAUGCCUAACUUUGCAUCUGACUCUUCCAUAGACUCUAGUGAGGAGAGUGUGAGCUCUCAGAGGGCAACAACCAGGUUGGUGCUGCAUAUUCACGUGGGUAGUGCGGUCUGGGGGUGAGAGCAGCAGCUGGACAGCCUGACCCCUGGGUUCUUGCUCUGGACAGCCCAGGUUAGAACCCCAGCUCUUCCGCUCUUGACUUUGGGCAAAUAGCUACUCCCUCUGAGCCUCAGUUUCCUCAUUUGUCAAAUGAGGCUGGUCACUCAAACUUCUUCACCAGGUGGUAGUGAGAGUUAAAGGGUUAAAGGCAUAUGU